GGAGUUUGAUCAUGGCUCAGGAUGAACGCUAGCGGCAGGCUUAACACAUGCAAGUCGAGGGGUAUAGUUCUUCGGAAUUAGAGACCGGCGCACGGGUGCGUAACGCGUAUGCAAUCUACCUUUCACAGAGGGAUAGCCCAGAGAAAUUUGGAUUAAUACCUCAUAGUAUAACGACUCUGCAUGGAGAUGUUAUUAAAGUCACAACGGUGAAAGAUGAGCAUGCGUCCCAUUAGCUAGUUGGUAAGGUAACGGCUUACCAAGGCUACGAUGGGUAGGGGUCCUGAGAGGGAGAUCCCCCACACUGGUACUGAGACACGGACCAGACUCCUACGGGAGGCAGCAGUGAGGAAUAUUGGACAAUGGGCGCAAGCCUGAUCCAGCCAUGCCGCGUGCAGGAUGACGGUCCUAUGGAUUGUAAACUGCUUUUGCACAGGAAGAAACAACGCUACGUGUAGCGUCUUGACGGUACUGUGAGAAUAAGGAUCGGCUAACUCCGUGCCAGCAGCCGCGGUAAUACGGAGGAUCCAAGCGUUAUCCGGAAUCAUUGGGUUUAAAGGGUCCGUAAGCGGUUUAGUAAGUCAGUGGUGAAAGCCCACCGCUCAACGGUGGAACGGCCAUUGAUACUGCUAGACUUGAAUUAUU
Molecule: ribosomal RNA, 642 nt
Filed under: uncultured bacterium
Lineage: Bacteria
Description: bacterial SSU rRNA
Rfam family: Bacterial small subunit ribosomal RNA
Source: RNAcentral